RNAcentral lists this long non-coding RNA (416 nucleotides) under Lynx canadensis (Canada lynx). Its description in RNAcentral is "lncRNA (ENSLCNG00005021437.1)". The record is from RNAcentral. Lineage: Eukaryota; Metazoa; Chordata; Mammalia; Carnivora; Felidae.
UGGGUGGCAACAAGAAAUGAACCAAAAAAACAAACAAAGAGCCUUGAUCCAGUUAAAAUAAUUUUAUUUUCCAGACGCAGGGCUAAUGGUUGGAAGAUACUGGCCUAAUAGGGUGGCAGCGAACUUAAAAAAAUAGGAUUUCUAAGGAGUUACUUUUUUCAGCACAGAGAAGCUUCUUGAAGGAGGUAUUCAAUUCAUAUUUUGGAGAAGCUUUCUACCUCCAAACAAACCACACUGCUAGGAGGUGAAAAGAAUGUGGACGUGAGAUACCGAAUAAGAAGGCAGAUGACAAGACCCUGGUAUUACCCAUGAAUUGUGUGCCUAAGCCAACUGGGUAAGCUUCAGGCCAUUCUUUGCUUUCCGGGGAAGCGUCUAGAUGCUGAUCCUUUCUGAUAAAAAAAACGGGUAGUAGUGAG